AGAAAAGAGGCAAGGGCGGAGAAGAAAGGAACUUUUAUGCCUCUAAACCCCCACUAGUUUCCUCAUCCCCCCUCAUCCUUGUGCAUUGUAGCCCAGCCCUGAACCAUGUGGCCAAGCUCCCAGGCUUUACUGUGACUAGAGAGGAAGAAGAGAGGAGACUGCAAUUACUAAGUAGGUAACGAGGGAUUUCUAACAGUCGGUUAGAAAGUAAGACGUUUUAGAAAUAUUGGCAGGAAACUCUACAGGACAUUGCUCUUUUAACGAUACUUUAUAAAUAAAUGGAAAAAAAAAAUCUCUUCCAUUCGAAAAUAAAGAAACCCUGCCAAAGAAAUUUCUUAUAAGAGGAAAGAAAACUUCACUAGAAUUACCAGAAAGGCAGCGCAAGGAAAUGGCAAUAUUAGAUUUCCCAGAGCACUUCCUUGGCUUGGAGCCAUUGUAUUUGAUUUCAAUUUAUACCAGCAGGAGGCUGCCUGAUACUUUUCUUCUCUGGUAAUGGCUUUCUUCUCAGGCUUUCUUGUCACCUCUAACAAGAAGUGCACCUGAAGGGAUUUCAGUGGUCAUAAGGCGAAGUCGUAGGAGCCCGUCCAAGGACUGUCACUCAUAUCCACAGUUAGGCAAUUUUUUUUUCAAAACGGCACAAUCAGUUGUGGGACUAAGUUGAGCAGCAGAUAUGGCAGCAUUCAGCUAUUACCCUCCUUGAGGGGAAGGUGGAAGAAUGUUGGAAAGACAAAAACUGAGAGAGAAGGAUAGAAGUGUGGCAGUGCUGGUCAGAAGUGAGAAACCAUCUGGUUGUAGGUGAGGGACCAUAUUUAACGCUGGCUGAAGCCCAAUAUUGUGUCACUGGUGCAUCCAUUUUGUAGCCUGUAAAUACUUCUAUUUCCCACUCUAAAUGUUUUUAUUUUUCUCCUCUCAGUUUCUCAAUAUAGUUGUUUGCAGCAAAUAUUCACUAUAUUUACCAUCCUUGAAAUAUCAGUGAGCCAAAAUAUACACAAAACAUGGCCUGUUUUGUCUCUGCAGCAUUUUUUCUGCUCCACUAAUGUAAAAAUAUUUCUCUUAAUACAGCUCUUUUUAAAGUUCUUUAAUUAGAUAGCACAGAAAGAUUGCAUUUGACAUAGAGACUAACUCAUCUCUACUUUCCUUGACAUGAAAUUUUUGCAGUAUUUGCAUUUUAAUAGGAAUAUUUGUGUUUUUGGUAGCAGAGAGGGGGCUGUUCUGUCCAGUCAUAAUCUGUGAUUACACACAUGUGAUUAUAUUUUCCCUCAUUAGAGCUGAUAUGUGCAUGUGCAUGGAGGGAGACAAAGACAGGCUCUUUGUGAGAGCUGCAGCAGGUGUGUAGGACUGAAUUUCCAUGUGAGAUGGUCUGGAGGAUCUUGAUCAUAUGAGCUUCUUUUUUUGAAGAUAUGUGUGCGUGUAGUAUUGCAACCAUGUUCACUCUUGUGUGUCUGCAUGGACUGUGUAUGAAUAAUAGUGUUUUCUGCUUGGCUGGCCGUGCCGGUGUGUGCCUGUGUUCAGGUUGCACAUGACCCUGACUCUGCUGGGAGGUCCGUGUCUUUCAUGCCUCCCUCAAAUCUGGGUCAAAGGAUGAAAGAAUAACCCCUAUCUGCUAUGACACACCGGUCUGUAUGAAAAAUGACUUCCUGGAGGUUUGAGUGGUAACAAGGUGGCAUAGUGGAGGACACAACUUUUAAAAUUCACCUUAUAGAGCAGCAGACACACUGUCCUAAAUCGAGAUCCUGUCACCUCUCUCUACUGACGUAGUUCCUCACUGCACGAGGUACUCAUCUAGUCUUCCCUCAUCUCCUUUUUCCUGUCCCUCUCACUUUGUUUCAGCACAUCUCACAGCUGACCUUGCAUACACCAGAUGAGAACGCUGGAUUUGCAAGUCGACGGCAAGUCGAUUAGGAAUGCAGUGUGGCUCAGUGUCUCCUGGCAUCUCUAUGUCUGUCUCCCCUCGCUCUCACAGCUGUUCAUCUCUUUCUCUUGUAGACUUUCUUCUCUCACUCAGUAAGCCUCUCCAACAAUGCUGCUGCUCUGAACCCGCUUCAACCCUCAGAGGAGGGAAAAGCCAUGCCGGGGCAUUUGUGCAUGUCAGUGUAUGUGCAGGCAAGCAUGAUUAUAUGAGUGAGUGUAUGUGUGUGUCUCUUUGUGUGGCAGCUAGGAAAGGUAGUUUUUGCCAAAGAACAGAAUGAGCAUCCUAAGUUCCCUGCAAACCGAGUGGUGGCUGUCAUCGAGGUCUUCUCUUAAAAAGAAUAAAGAUUUUAAAAAAAGGGGGAAAAAAAAGGGAAAUAGGAAAUUGUUCCUGCACUGGGACACUCCUCUCUGCCUCUCUCACAGCUUCAGCCCUGUGGGCUUCAAGCUUGAAGCAGGGCAGAGUGUGCAGAGGAUGUUAAGACCUACUGCCUGUCAUAGAUAAAGGCUGCAGACCUCCUACUAGCAGUGGGACACAGCCAUCUGGGAGGACCACUUGCAGUGCCUCAUACCCAUUUGACCCCCUGUUGCACACCCUUGUAUUGACGCACACUCAGCCUCCUUAGAAGCCCAUGCUGGGCAAAGCAGGACACUGUCGGAUUGAUGGAGAGGUCCCCACGAUACGUUUUUGUCUCCGGCAACUUUUACAAAACAUUCAAAACAGACCCUCCUCAUUACUCCCAACACUGUGUUCAUUCUCUCCCCACCUCCUCUUUGUCUCCAACCCUCCACAGCUUGAGCAGCAUACUGUUUCUGGACCAUUCCCUGUUGAUGGAAAAAGGGGGUUACUCAUUUGUCAUUGUGUGAACAGUCAUCGCUGCCUGCUAGGGGUUCAUAAUGACAGAGAGAUGGUUUGCUCUGUCAGCAAGACCUAAAGUGGACCAAAAAAAAGGGGGCUAUCUCAUACUUCCUGAAAUACCAGCGAAAUAAGCAUUUAAAUUACACAGAUGUGCCAUGUGCUUGCCUCCAUAAAUAUUAAAAAUCAUGGUUUGCACUUUUCCUAGUUUUUUUGAAGAAUGCUUUUGUUCUGUCUUUCACACCCUCACUUGUUUCUUUUGUUAUAUUUUGCCCUAAACUGUGCAGAAAUGUAAAUUUAAUGAUGAGGACUCUCUGUAGUACACUCAAGCUUGAUUAUUUAAACAGCACCAAGCUAUCAGCAGAGAAUUGUAUCUACAGAACUCUAAAGAGACCGUUUGCUCUUUCAACAAGAAUUUGUCUCUAGCCUCUCUACAGUAAUGUUUAAAACCACCCACAUUGAAUAUAUAAUAUUUAAAAAAAAAACACAUAUUUCAAUUAUUAACCUGCUUGACAUUGAGAGCUACUUUCUUCACUUUGUUAUUCUUCUGGGAUAACUUCAUGUUCAAGAAAGCCAGAUGUGCUUAGACAUGUAAAUGACUACAAAAGAUAAUGUGCCUUUUAUGGUUAUAGCUCCGUGGUCCGUGGUCAGUUAUAUGAGAACUUAGUUACUGAAUUUAAGAGCAUGUCGCUGUCCAACAGAAUAUUUGAGUUUACCAGGAUCAGAAAUGUCAUUAAUGUGCUAUGUGGUAUCAGUGAGAAAACCAGUCAAUGCACCCAUCCAAUACCUCAGUUAAUACGCCCUUUAAGAAAUUACUUUAUCUCUUCUUCUCCAAAAUAAGUAUCUACACAGAAUUACCAUGAAAUAUAGCUGCAACUACACAGUGCUUUACUGAAACAUCCACAGCAUAUGCCAGGAUACUUAUCAAGUGAUGGUAGAAAACAGUCAUCUCAGCUUGUUUCUAGGUGAGAAUUCAUUCAGUGUCUUUAGCCAGGUUGCAUGACAAUGAUACCAAAACUGUUUAAGUAAUAUAUCAAGUCUUUUGUAUUGGAAUGGUGGGUACUUGGGAUUUACCUUGUUGAAUUCAAGUAUUGGAAUCAUAACCAGUAAGCAUCACUUCACAAAAUCAUUGUAUUUAGUAAAGUAUUGAUAGUUAAAUUACUUUUAGUCUUGAGUCAUUCUAAGAAGCAUUUACCUGCAACCCUGGAGCAGAGGCCCCUGGUGACGUUUCUGGAAAAGUCGUAGAUGACAAAUUUCCUUCCAGUAAUUAGACUGAAUGACUCAAAAUUAUGUUUAAAGCUGCAAUGAAAAAUAAUUAUUUAAUUAUAUAAUUGAAUCCAGGUAUACCCCCCUCAUAUGAACAUGUACUGUACAUUUUGUUUUUAUUUUAAAAAAAGGUAUGUAAGCAAGUAAACAGUUGUGAUAAAUUCCAAAAUUAGCGAAUACUUUUUUCCCAGUGAAUUUCCAUUGAAUCGUCCAUCCAUCCAUCCAUCCAUCCAGGUCAGGUCGCGGGGGCAGCAGCCUGAGCAAAGAAGCCAAGACUUCCUUCUCCCCAGCCACUUAGUCCAGUUUCUGGGGGACCUUAAGGCGUUCCCAGGCCAACUGAGAGACAUAGUCUCCAUUGAAUUAAUCUUAAAAAGUUAAAUUCAUGAAAUAUCAUUCAAAUAUCAGUCAUCCCAGAACCUGUGCUCAACCAGGCAGCAAAGUCUGGUCCCUCUGAAUUUUCUGCCAUUUUUACUCUAUUUAUUUAUGAUUUUGUUGUGUUUUGUCAACUGCAGGUGGAUGUUUCUGCUGUGAGAGGAGUUUGUUCAGGAGAGGAGCCUCUUUCAUUGAGACGGAGCAGGUCUGGAUGACGGCAUCCAGUUCCAGUGGACAUCUGGAGGCAUUAUCGAGGUUGCCAUGCUGGUGUAGAGGUGAAGGCAAAGAUGAAGGCCAGGAAAUGAAAAUAUAAGCCCGCCGGAAACAAACUCUUUGUUCAGUGUGGAUCUGCCUGUUUUCACUCUCAUAAGGUCAGUCAGAGAUGCUAAAGCUAGUGGCAAGAAGUAAGGAGGGGGUCUAGCUUUCUCUGUUAACCAGAGAUGGUGUAACCUUUCACAUAUAACUGUCAAGGAGAGGAUGUGUUGUCCAGAUAUUGGACUGCUGGCUGUUGCUCUUCAGCUAUAUUAUGUUCCAAGGGAGUUCAGUCAUAUCAUAACAAUACUUGUAUAUAUCCCACCCAAGGCAACGGCUGAAGUUCCAUGUUUGGAUUCAAGUUUCAUUUGAUUGGAAUGAAGUUGGACUCACUAGAGGAUGUGAUGUAGUAGCCUGGCUGGGCCAUCCAGUUGCGUGAAUCACUUGCCGUUCCUUCCCACAAGUGAUUCACGCAACUGGAUGGCCCAGCCAGGCUAGUGAUGUAGAGAUGCACACUGAGGAAACUAGAGGCCAUUCAAAAAAACAUGGAUCAUCAACUUCAUGACACCUUGAUGGACCAAAAAAACAGUGAUGAUCUAUUAGCUGCAGAAUGAAGAGAUUCAGAAGAUCUUUUGAACCCACAGCCAUCAGAAUUUUUAAUUCUUCUAUAAAUAGUAGAUGAGAUGAGAUUCUAGACUAGUUAAUUUCCCUGUGGGGAUCAAUAAAUUUCUUGUAUUGUAUUGUAUUGCAUUAUUCAAAACUUUGAGUUAUUUCACCAUCUAAAGAUGUAGGUUCAUUAUUAUUAUCCAGGAAGUCCAAUCCUGUCACAAGAUUCAUCACACAUUCACAUACAUGUUAAUUAUGAUUUUUGAGUCCUAUCUCAGAUACCCUCACCGGCCUCUGGAACCUAAUUAAGCAGCUUGAGUGUGUGUGACAGCAUCAUCUACAGAAAUAUUUAACUGGUCUGAACAGCGCACACAAAUCCUGAAAAAGAUGGGACGGUCAACAUGCUGCUGAAAAAGGCGUACUGAGACCUGGAGAAAGGCGAGCAGAUAGCUGUACAAAUCUGCCCCCCAGUUGGUUUCUCCUCUCCAGUGACUCAGGUGCUGAUCUCCUUCUAUCUUUACCAGCAGCACCACAAGGAGCAAGAACACAGAGCUAUCCAGGGAAAUUACCCUGUCGACAGACGGCACAUUGAGACUUCGUUAGCACAACCAUCCAACCUAGUGCCUCUCCAGCCUGAUCGAACUGAGCAACUCUCCAUGACAGAGUAAACAAAGCAGAAUCACCGGCAUGAUGAGGAAAAGAAGGUCUUUUUCAUUUGAUUCAAUUGCUGCAAAUCCCUGAAUACCCAUGUGGUUUUGUGUAUCAUAAACUUCAAUGAGGGUAUGUGAGUGGAAAGCCACAAGUGGAAAUAUGUCCCUUUGUUCUUAUUAUGAAUCUAUAUCUUUGCAUGUAUGCGUUUGUGUGUUUUUCUGCAUAUGUUUUUGUUUGUGCGUGUUUUUUAUGAGGGUAUUUUAUAUGUAAAUUUGACUUUCUGCAUGCGAUGCACCUGUAUACAAUGAGUCCAUAUUGAUAUUUACCUUAUAAUGGAUUUUCUAGGUGGGGUGUUUGUAUUCAUGCAAAUAUUUGUGUAUGUGUGCUUCUCUGUGCGUGUGUGUCUGUUUGUGUGCUUCAGGCAGAGGAGAAUGUCUGUGUUGAGUAAAAAGAAGAAGCGGAGGAGAGGUAUAAGUCAGAGCCUGUGAGUAAACAACCUGCAGUAGCUACAGCUAGUGUCAGUCUUCCUACCUCGCCUCCAUGGCUGCCGUGCCUUCCUCCUUUACUUUCCAUCCUCUGCGCUUAAACAAACACACACAGCAAUUGUGCUGCCAAGUUACUGAAAAACUCGUUCAGCAAACUUCCGGGCUCCUGCAACUCUGCUCAGCUUUUUGUGCCUAAAUUGAUAAUUGAAUUGACUAUCGCCAUGUAAUCAAUUAGGGUGUUCAUCCCCGGCUCUGAUUCAAACAGUUAAUUGGCUUGUGCCACAGAGAGGCUGAGACGAAGAGCUGACUGGUGCAGGAGGGACUGUUGGAUUACUACAGAUGGGCUCAGACCUAUUUGCAUUGUGUCUGACUUUAAGUCCUUGAUUGCCUUUCCUGGUUCAGAAAUUGCCUGGAUGCGAGCAGCACACAGGUUGUAAAAGGACCUCGGUGACAAAUUCUGCCUGUUUAAGUGAAGAGGGUGAGGAUACAUAUAGAGUGUGCACAGCGGG
RNAcentral lists this long non-coding RNA (6905 nucleotides) under Xyrichtys novacula (pearly razorfish). The record is from RNAcentral. Lineage: Eukaryota; Metazoa; Chordata; Actinopteri; Labriformes; Labridae.